GGUUUCGCUAUGCAGUUCAGGCUGGCCUUGAGCUCACUUUGUAGCCCAGGCUGGCCUCAAACUCGCAAAGAUCCUCCUGCCUCAGCCUCCCAAGUGCUGAGAUUACAGGCAUGCGCCACCAUGCCCG
Molecule: microRNA precursor, 127 nt
Organism: Chinchilla lanigera (long-tailed chinchilla)
Lineage: Eukaryota; Metazoa; Chordata; Mammalia; Rodentia; Chinchillidae
Source: Ensembl